RNAcentral lists this small RNA (550 nucleotides) under Trichoderma harzianum. Its description in RNAcentral is "eukaryotic LSU rRNA". The stretch from base 206 to 359 matches the Rfam family "5.8S ribosomal RNA". The record is from RNAcentral. Lineage: Eukaryota; Fungi; Ascomycota; Sordariomycetes; Hypocreales; Hypocreaceae.
GGGGAAUCGGAAUUACACUCCAACCCAAUGUGAACGUUACCAAACUGUUGCCUCGGCGGGAUCUCUGCCCCGGGUGCGUCGCAGCCCCGGACCAAGGCGCCCGCCGGAGGACCAACCAAAACUCUUAUUGUAUACCCCCUCGCGGGUUUUUUUUAUAAUCUGAGCCUUCUCGGCGCCUCUCGUAGGCGUUUCGAAAAUGAAUCAAAACUUUCAACAACGGAUCUCUUGGUUCUGGCAUCGAUGAAGAACGCAGCGAAAUGCGAUAAGUAAUGUGAAUUGCAGAAUUCAGUGAAUCAUCGAAUCUUUGAACGCACAUUGCGCCCGCCAGUAUUCUGGCGGGCAUGCCUGUCCGAGCGUCAUUUCAACCCUCGAACCCCUCCGGGGGGUCGGCGUUGGGGAUCGGCCCUGCCUUGGCGGUGGCCGUCUCCGAAAUACAGUGGCGGUCUCGCCGCAGCCUCUCCUGCGCAGUAGUUUGCACACUCGCAUCGGGAGCGCGGCGCGUCCACAGCCGUUAAACCACCCAACUUUCUGAAAAUGUGGACCUCGGAUC